GACGAACGCUGGCGGCGUGCUUAACACAUGCAAGUCGAACGGAAAGGCCUCUUUCGGGGGGUACUCGAGUGGCGAACGGGUGAGUAACACGUGAGUAACCUGCCCUUGACUUUGGGAUAACUUCAGGAAACUGGGGCUAAUACCGGAUAGGAGCUCCUGCUGCAUGGUGGGGGUUGGAAAGUUUCGGCGGUUGGGGAUGGACUCGCGGCUUAUCAGCUUGUUGGUGGGGUAGUGGCUUACCAAGGCUUUGACGGGUAGCCGGCCUGAGAGGGUGACCGGCCACAUUGGGACAGAGAUACGGCCCAGACUCCUACGGGAGGCAGCAGUGGGGAAUAUUGCACAAUGGGUGGAAGCCUGAUGCAGCAACGCCGUGUGCGGGAUGACGGCCUUCGGGUUGUAAACCGCUUUCGCUCAUGACGAAGCUUUGUGUGACGGUAGUGGGUAAAGAAGCACCGGCUAACUACGU
RNAcentral lists this ribosomal RNA (466 nucleotides) under uncultured bacterium. RNAcentral's name for it is "partial 16S ribosomal RNA". It matches the Rfam family "Bacterial small subunit ribosomal RNA", at positions 28 to 506 of the family's 1533-position model. The record is from RNAcentral.